Molecule: transfer RNA, 73 nt
Filed under: Gammaproteobacteria bacterium
Lineage: Bacteria; Pseudomonadati; Pseudomonadota; Gammaproteobacteria
Description: tRNA-Arg
Rfam family: tRNA
About the family: Transfer RNA (tRNA) molecules are approximately 80 nucleotides in length. Their secondary structure includes four short double-helical elements and three loops (D, anti-codon, and T loops).
Source: RNAcentral
CCGUAGCUCAACCGGAUAGAGCAGCGGUUUUCUAAACCGCAGGUUACAGGUUCGAUUCCUGUCGGGCGUACCA